Molecule: ribosomal RNA, 232 nt
Filed under: uncultured bacterium
Lineage: Bacteria
Description: partial 16S ribosomal RNA
Rfam family: Bacterial small subunit ribosomal RNA
Source: RNAcentral
CGGGGUGAGUAACGCGUGGAUAACCUGCCUCACACAGGGGGAUAACAGUUAGAAAUGACUGCUAAUACCGCAUAAGCGCACAGUACCGCAUGGUACAGUGUGAAAAACUCCGGUGGUGUGAGAUGGAUCCGCGUCUGAUUAGGUAGUUGGUGGGGCAACGGCCCACCAAGCCGACGAUCAGUAGCCGACCUGAGAGGGUGACCGGCCACAUUGGGACUGAGACACGGCCCAA